GAUGAACGCUGGCGGCGUGCCUAAUACAUGCAAGUCGAACGGACAGACGAUGAUCUUGCUCCGCGGACGUGAGCCGCGGACGUGUGAGUAACACGUGUAUAACCUACCUAUAAUACUGAUAAAACUUCGGAAAACCGGAUCUAAUACCGUAGAAGAUAUUGAACCACAUUGGGCGAUGGUAAGAUACGGUGUUUCGGGCACGUAUAGAUGGAUCCCGGCCUCAUUAGCUAGUUGGUAAGUUAACGGCUUACCAAGGCAACGAUGCGUAGACGACGUGUGAGAGUGAUAGCCCACCCUGGAACGGAGCCACGGACAAGACUCCUAAGGGAGGCCGCAGUCGCGAACGUUACGCAAUGGGCGAAAGUAUGACGGAGCAACGCCGAGCGAGUGAUGAAGGCCUCCGGAUCGUAAAACUCUGUUAUUAGGGAAGAACAACUGUGUACGUAAACAUGCACGUAUUGACGGUAACUAAUAAGAAAGCACCGGCUAACUACGUG
RNAcentral lists this ribosomal RNA (497 nucleotides) under uncultured bacterium. Its description in RNAcentral is "partial 16S ribosomal RNA". It matches the Rfam family "Bacterial small subunit ribosomal RNA", at positions 28 to 507 of the family's 1533-position model. The record is from RNAcentral.